RNAcentral lists this ribosomal RNA (465 nucleotides) under uncultured bacterium. RNAcentral's name for it is "partial 16S ribosomal RNA". It matches the Rfam family "Bacterial small subunit ribosomal RNA", at positions 338 to 795 of the family's 1533-position model. The record is from RNAcentral.
CCUACGGGAGGCAGCAGUGGGGAAUAUUGCGCAAUGGGCGAAAGCCUGACGCAGCGACGCCGCGUGAGGGAUGAAGGUCUUCGGAUCGUAAACCUCUGUCAGCAGGGAAGAACGGUCACUGUGCUAAUCAGCAGUGAAUUGACGGUACCUGCAAAGGAAGCACCGGCUAACUCCGUGCCCGCAGCUGCGGUAAUACGGGGGGUGCGAGCGUUAAUCGGAAGUGCUGGGCGGAAAGGGAGCGUAGGCGGUAUGGCAAGUCACGGGUGAAAUACCCGCGCUCAACGUGGGAACUGCCAUUGAAACUGGCAAAAUGGAGUGUGUGAGAGGAUAGUGGAAUUCCUGGUGUAGGAGUGAAAUGCGUAGAUAGCUGGAGGAACAUCAGUGGCGAAGGCGGCUAUCUGGCACAUAACUGACGCUGAGGAGCGAAAGCGUGGGUAGCAAACAGGAUUAGAUACCCCUGUAGUC